UCAGUACAAAGGCACACUUAUCGAAAGGUAAGCUCGCAAAGUCUCAGACCUAAAGCGUUCAUUGCGCUACGGUGGCUGGAUUGCCUGA
This 88-nucleotide non-coding RNA is filed under the name Pontibacillus halophilus. Its description in RNAcentral is "c-di-GMP sequence". It matches the Rfam family "c-di-GMP-I riboswitch aptamer". Rfam says of the family: GEMM was predicted in a large-scale screen for bacterial structured RNA regulatory elements. Genes associated with GEMM are involved in a diverse array of functions, including chemotaxis regulation, signal transduction, secretion and chitin. RNAcentral also lists the same sequence under 1 other name. The record is from RNAcentral. Lineage: Bacteria; Bacillati; Bacillota; Bacilli; Caryophanales; Bacillaceae.